UCUUUCUAUCUGUACAUAUCAGUACUGGAGUACGAUUACUACACUCGAGUUUUUGAAGUAAACAUAUAUGUGUGUGUGAGAUUAACUAGACAAUUCAAUAAUUUAGAAUAUGACUAUUUUACUACUCUACAUACAAACUGUAUUAAUGAGUGGUUAUAUCUUAUGGCCGUCCAUGGGGGGAGCAGAAUCCUAAAAUUCAGAGACAAGACCAGGAAAAAGUGCUGGCAACAUUGGUUGGAAAUUUAUAAAUUGACUGUAAAUUUGCAUGACAAGUACGUGACGAUCAUUUGGUCCAAUACUCACCCACCUCCAUACGUGGGAGACUGUCGGCUUUGGUCACACUUGCUACUUAACUUAAUUCCCCUAAAUUCUCAAUAACACUUACUCCCUCCGUCCCUAUUUAUCUGUCCACUUUGCAAGUAAAAAUUUGUCCCUAUUUAUCUGUCCAUUUAUACUUUCAAAACUCAUUUAAUGAUAGUUUUUCAAAUAUAUCUCCAUAAUUUCAAUUUUCUAGGCUUGACUUAUUUAAAACUUGGUUGAAUUCAUGUUUUCAAGACAUAAAGUAGGGGUAUUCCACCAUUUUCAAGAUAUUAAUUAGAGGUAUUUAAUGAAAAAGUUCAUAGCAUCAAUUAUUCAUUGGUAUGUGUUUUUUUUUCCAAAAUGGACAGAUAAAAAGGGACGGAGGGAGUACUAAUUAGGGUUCUCCCCUCUUUGUCUAGGGUUAGCUAUAAUUUCUGAUUUCCUGCAUUCUGAAUCGGGUACCGGCCUGGCGAAUAAUUAGUAUUCGUAUCGUUGAUACAAAAUUUGAUAACCAGCUCAAUCCGCAUAUAAU
This 832-nucleotide long non-coding RNA is filed under the name Daucus carota (carrot). RNAcentral's name for it is "long non-coding RNA (DCAR_LNC004462)". Lineage: Eukaryota; Viridiplantae; Streptophyta; Magnoliopsida; Apiales; Apiaceae. The record is from RNAcentral.